This 73-nucleotide transfer RNA is filed under the name Fusicatenibacter saccharivorans. RNAcentral's name for it is "tRNA-Ile". It matches the Rfam family "tRNA". From Rfam's summary of the family: Transfer RNA (tRNA) molecules are approximately 80 nucleotides in length. Their secondary structure includes four short double-helical elements and three loops (D, anti-codon, and T loops). The record is from RNAcentral. Lineage: Bacteria; Bacillati; Bacillota; Clostridia; Lachnospirales; Lachnospiraceae. RNAcentral also lists the same sequence under 2 other names.
GGAUUAUUAGCUCAGUUGGUAGAGCAUCCGGCUCAUAACCGGGCGGUCACUGGUUCGAGUCCAGUAUGAUCCA